GCCCGCAUAGCUCAAGUAUGUCACCCCGUCUGGUACUGGAUUCAAGAAGCUUGAUCACUAACAAAUUCACAGUGGUAGAGCGCGUCACUAGUAAUGACGAGGUUGCCGGUUCGAUUCCGUCUGUGGGCA
Non-coding RNA from Cadophora malorum, 129 nucleotides. The record is from the annotation of a GenBank genome assembly. NCBI's taxonomy places the organism in Eukaryota, Fungi, Ascomycota, Leotiomycetes, Helotiales, Ploettnerulaceae.